AGUGAACGCUGGCGGUAGGCCUAACACAUGCAAGUCGAACGGCAGCACAGUAAGAGCUUGCUCUUACGGGUGGCGAGUGGCGGACGGGUGAGGAAUACAUCGGAAUCUACUUUUUCGUGGGGGAUAACGUAGGGAAACUUACGCUAAUACCGCAUACGACCUACGGGUGAAAGUAGGGGAUCUUCGGACCUUGCGCGAUUGAAUGAGCCGAUGUCGGAUUAGCUAGUUGGCGGGGUAAAGGCCCACCAAGGCGACGAUCCGUAGCUGGUCUGAGAGGAUGAUCAGCCAAACGGGAACUGAGACACGGUCCAGACUCCUACGGGAGGCAGCAGUGGGGAAUAUUGGACAAGGGGCGCAAGCCUGAUCCAGCCAUACCGCGUGGGUGAAGAAGGCCUUCGGGUUGUAAAGCCCUUUUGUUGGGAAAGAAAAGCAGCAGGUUAAUACCCCGCUGUUCUGACGGUACCCAAAGAAUAAGCACCGGCUAACUUCGU
Molecule: ribosomal RNA, 491 nt
Filed under: uncultured bacterium
Lineage: Bacteria
Description: partial 16S ribosomal RNA
Rfam family: Bacterial small subunit ribosomal RNA
Source: RNAcentral